UCUUCUUCUUCUUCUAUUCUCACUCUGUUUUCUUCCUGGGUCCUCCAAUCUCCUUCAGUUAGGUUCCAGCGACGGCUUCACACAGGUUAGCUUGGUUUUUUUUUUCUUGUUUUGUUCUUGGGUAGGCUAGACUUUGGUUUUAAUUUUUUUUUCUGAAAUGUUCUAAUCAUCUCAGCGAACUAAGAAACCCUUAGAAGCGUCUUCACCUUUAAGGCAUUUCAGAAAAUGAAAGGGCAAGAAGACUUGGGAUGCUGAGUCGUUCAUCAAUGAGUGGACAAACAAAUAUAGGGUGAAUCAUCUCCCAAGGAUUGUGAGGCUGUGAUGUCAUUCUCCUCGAAGUACACAUUGAGACAAUUUCUAAAUCCAUCAUGUUCCUUUUAAUUGCCCUUUUGGUAAGCUAGUUUUGCCAUUUCAUAUCUUGUUGCCUUCUCGUUUUCAGCAAAGGAAAUAAAACUAUAGUAUAUGCCUUUUUUUAUUCCAAAAAAAAAUCAAAUUCUGUUGUAGCAGUCAAUAUUCCUGAUAGGGCUUAGCAAUAAAAUCUUAUUUUUGGCCAAGACUCCUUACUCGAACACAAACACACCAUGCAAUGUCAAAACAAAAAGAAAAAAUAGAUGACACUAGCUAUGCGUGAUUUUCAUAUUUAAUAGUUUUUAUGUUGGGGUAGAUGAGGAACUAAAUUUAUCUGAGGUAUAGGUUCUAAGUGAUUUGCAAAUUUGUUGCUUUGUAAUGAAAUUUUGAAGAGGAAAAUAUUUGCUAACUGUGUUUGAUCAUAGGCUUUGGUUUCCAAAACAGGUGGUCAGCUAAUUCCAAUGGUAGUGCUUUAGAGUAUCUUGGGUAAAAAGAAAUUUAUACAGUAGAUGUUGAUAUUAAUGCUUUGAGCUUUCAUGACAUUCUAAUCUUCAACAAGGGCCAUUGGUAUUCUGUUGUCAUUUUUCUCUGUCAUUUCCAUAUUAUUGUUGUUGGUGUAGAAUAGAAAUUACAGGGGAUGAUAAUGUGUCAUUUAAUUACUAACAAUUGUCUUUACAGAGAUUUUGUCACUUAUGAUGAUGUUAAAUGUACUUUGUUACAUUGUAUUUGUCACUCUGAUAGAAAUUGAUCAUAAUGCACAGUUGAUGUAUGCAUGUGUCUCAUCAUGGGCUUUUAUGUUCAUAAUUGUAUUUUUGUAGUUUACUAUCAACAUUUGACAUGGAAGGUGUUGCAAUUAACAGGUGGUGGGCUACUUCAAAAUUUGACUCUCUUAAAUCUCUAAUACUUUUUAAGUUCUCAGCCUAUGAUUCCUCCACAAACAGAAUAAUAUCAAGGAGUAGGACAAACAUAAGGAUGCUAUUCAUGGGGUGUCAUGAUAAUAUACAAGAGGAAAUGAAUGGACAUUUCAAAGGGCCAAAGGAAAAAGGAGAAGAGUGUUGUAGGCUCUUGAACUGUAACAUGAACUUUUGAUGCAGUGUGUAGAUUUGUAAAUGUGGUUAGCUUGUAUAAUGUAUUAGAUUUUGUAUCAUAAACACUUAAAUUGUAAUAAUAACACCCAUUCCUUUUAUAAAA
Long non-coding RNA from Humulus lupulus (European hop), 1539 nucleotides. RefSeq lists it as uncharacterized. The record is from RefSeq and is a predicted model, not a curated record. NCBI's taxonomy places the organism in Eukaryota, Viridiplantae, Streptophyta, Magnoliopsida, Rosales, Cannabaceae. The transcript is spliced from 3 exons.